GAUCAUAUGUUUCUCAAGGAAUGCAAUCUAACAUUUGAAUAAUAUUAAUGUAAGGUUAUUUGUUACAAAAUUGCCAAACGGUGCUCAUGUGACAGCCCAGAGAUGGAGUUGUCAACAUAGAAAUAGCAUCAUAUUCACAUAAACCUCUAAAAAAGGGCAGGAAUAAACUUGUACAUUAGCUCAACAGAAGGAAGGGGGGAAGAAGAAAUCUCUAGUGAAACUCAAUUGAACAUACAUUAUCUUUGCUCAAAAAUGUGUGAAAGGUAUCAAUUUCAGUUUCAUGGAACUCAACUCAACUCAACUCAAC
Molecule: unclassified non-coding RNA, 307 nt
Filed under: Hevea brasiliensis (rubber tree)
Lineage: Eukaryota; Viridiplantae; Streptophyta; Magnoliopsida; Malpighiales; Euphorbiaceae
Source: RNAcentral